Acanthosepion pharaonis is the source of this 107-nucleotide non-coding RNA. NCBI's taxonomy places the organism in Eukaryota, Metazoa, Mollusca, Cephalopoda, Sepiida, Sepiidae. The record is from the annotation of a GenBank genome assembly.
UUACGGCCAUAUCGCGUUGCAAGACCGGUUCCCGUACGAUCACCGAAAUUAAUCAACAUGGUUAGUACCUAGAUGGGUAACCACUUGGAAAUGCCAGGUGCUGUAAG